AGUCACUGACAUUAGAUACCCCCGUAGUCCCAGCCGUAAACAAUGUGCGUUAGGUGUGUCGGUAACCACGCGUUACUGAUGCGCCGAAGAGAAAUCGUGAAACGCACCACCUGGGAAGUACGGUCGCAAGGCUGAAACUUAAAGGAACUGGCGGGGAGCACCACAACAGGUGGAGCCUGCGGUUUAAUUGGAUUCAACGCCGGACAUCUCACCGGAUAAGACAGCUGAAUGAUUGUCAAUCUGAAGGUUUUACAUGACUAGCUG
Molecule: ribosomal RNA, 264 nt
Filed under: uncultured archaeon
Lineage: Archaea
Description: partial 16S ribosomal RNA
Rfam family: Archaeal small subunit ribosomal RNA
Source: RNAcentral